Long non-coding RNA from Ipomoea nil (Japanese morning glory), 101 nucleotides. RefSeq lists it as uncharacterized. The record is from RefSeq and is a predicted model, not a curated record. Lineage: Eukaryota; Viridiplantae; Streptophyta; Magnoliopsida; Solanales; Convolvulaceae. The transcript has 3 exons.
UUGUGCUUAUUGUGCUACCUUUUCCCCCUUGUGCUUUAUUUUCUUUUACAUUGAGGACGAUGUAAUUGCUAAGUGUGGGGUGAAAACAAAAAAAUCGGUAA